AACGACGCUGGCGGCAUGCCUAACACAUGCAAGUCGAACGAGACCUUCGGGUCUAGUGGCGCACGGGUGCGUAACGCGUGGGAACCUGCCUUUAGGUUCGGAAUAACAGUGAGAAAUUACUGCUAAUACCGGAUGAUGUCUUCGGACCAAAGAUUUAUCGCCUUUAGAUGGGCCCGCGUUGGAUUAGCUAGUUGGUGGGGUAAAGGCCUACCAAGGCGACGAUCCAUAGCUGGUCUGAGAGGAUGAUCAGCCACACUGGGACUGAGACACGGCCCAGACUCCUACGGGAGGCAGCAGUGGGGAAUAUUGGACAAUGGGCGAAAGCCUGAUCCAGCAAUGCCGCGUGAGUGAUGAAGGCCUUAGGGUUGUAAAGCUCUUUUACCCGAGAUGAUAAUGACAGUAUCGGGAGAAUAAGCUCCGGCUAACUCCGUG
RNAcentral lists this ribosomal RNA (432 nucleotides) under uncultured bacterium. RNAcentral's name for it is "bacterial SSU rRNA". It matches the Rfam family "Bacterial small subunit ribosomal RNA", at positions 32 to 507 of the family's 1533-position model. The record is from RNAcentral.